RNAcentral lists this microRNA precursor (110 nucleotides) under Paramuricea clavata. The record is from RNAcentral. Lineage: Eukaryota; Metazoa; Cnidaria; Anthozoa; Malacalcyonacea; Plexauridae.
GUUACAUUUAAUAGUUUUGUUUGUGGAAACACCACGUAAAUUUAUUACUGCAGUAAUAAAUUUACGUGGUGUUUCCACAAACAAAACUGUUAUAUUUUAUCACCAUGCAA